This 971-nucleotide long non-coding RNA is filed under the name Anser brachyrhynchus (Pink-footed goose). RNAcentral describes it as "lncRNA (ENSABRG00000013077.1)". The record is from RNAcentral. Lineage: Eukaryota; Metazoa; Chordata; Aves; Anseriformes; Anatidae.
AAUCUGUUAAUGAAACCCCUUGUGAUGGGUUACAGCAGCAGCUGUUGCAACACCCCUCCCCCUUGUCCUACACAGGGAGGUUUCUGGUUUGAGGUUGCCCUGUGGUGGCCUCAAACUUUCUGGGAGAAUUCUAGAUUAGCUCUCAGCUUGUUGUGUGUGGUUUUGGAUGUAUAUUAUAAGCGGCUGUUGGCAUCUAUGAUGAACAGGUGUUGUGAAAUGAGCAGAACAUGAAUUUUAUUUGAAAUAAGCGGAGAGGAGAGAUACAAUCUGCUGGGUAGAGCGAUGGUCUGGAGUUGAGAAAACAAGGUGAAUUCAGUGUUUCUUUACUCAUUGCAGCAGAACAAUUUUUGCUUCUUGUAUAGCUAUUUAUUUGCUUUAUUUGUAUUUAUCUGCUUCUUGUGGCGAUAUUUACUUGAAUUGACUAGUUGGUCUUGGUUAGGUACUCAUCCAAACGGGCUAAACCACUACCUGAUUUUCACCACUGGGUUUGUGGGAGUUGGCAACAAAUGGACUCUUAGACACAGGCUUUACCAUGUGUCUAGCUCAGCAGCACUGGAGUAGGCUGUUGUAGCUGUAAGAUGGCCAAAGAAGGGGAAGAAUUUGGAAGCCCCAAGGUAAAAUUGCCUGGACCAUCUCCUUAAGGAACCCUCUCUUCUCUUGGUUGUGUAGCAAAUUCUAAAUACUACUGGGUUUGGUAAGAGCUUUGUUUCAGCUACUUCCUUGUAUGAAUCUGACCACUCACAGAAUACAUCUUGCCUUGUAAGAAUAUAGUUUCAUUAAGUGCCCACUCCUGUCCUGUGAGAAUUCUUCUGGUUUAGUAUUUUUAAUGUCUUGGGUAUUCCAUAAAUGUCAGAUAACAUAGAAAACUACCGAGGUUUGUUCUUUUCUUAAGUUCUGAGGGACAAAGUUUUGUCUUAAAGCCAUAGUCAAUCUCUAAUAAAGAUCACUGUUGUGUUUGUGGUAUUAUGCCA